GUAGGUGGCAAGCGUUGUCCGGAAUUAUUGGGCGUAAAGCGUGCGCAGGUGGUUCUUUAAGUCUGAUGUGAAAGCCCCCGGCUCAACCGGGGAGGGUCAUUGGAAACUGGGGAACUUGAGUGCAGGAGAGGAAAGUGGGAUUCCACGUGUAGCGGUGAAAUGCGUAGAUAUGUGGAGGAACACCAGUGGCGAAGGCGACUUUCUGGCCUGUAACUGACACUGAGGCGCGAAAGCGUGGGGAGCAAACAGGGAUUAGAUACCCUGGUAGUCCACGCCGUAAACGAUGAGUGCUAAGUGUUGGGGGGGUUUCCCGCCCCGUCAGUGCUGCAGCUAACGCAUUAAGCACUCCGCCUGGGGAGUACGGUCGCAAGACUG
Molecule: ribosomal RNA, 375 nt
Filed under: uncultured organism
Description: partial 16S ribosomal RNA
Rfam family: Bacterial small subunit ribosomal RNA
Source: RNAcentral